GGUCUUGUAGUUUAUUCAAAACAUAAAGUUGCAAACUUUAGGAAACAUAUUAUAUUGUCGGGACUU
RNAcentral lists this transfer RNA (66 nucleotides) under Sthenoteuthis oualaniensis. RNAcentral describes it as "tRNA-Cys". Lineage: Eukaryota; Metazoa; Mollusca; Cephalopoda; Oegopsida; Ommastrephidae. The record is from RNAcentral.